Molecule: non-coding RNA, 45 nt
Organism: Schistosoma rodhaini
Lineage: Eukaryota; Metazoa; Platyhelminthes; Trematoda; Strigeidida; Schistosomatidae
Source: Rfam
AUUCAGUUGACGAGUUCUAAAUGGGACGAAACGCACGUCUUAGAU